CAGGAUGCCAAUGAAAGAGGUUCUGUCUAGCCAUGACACCUUGAAUUAGGAAGAAGAUCUAAGACUGUGGAGUGUUUUGAGGCCUGUUGCUAUACUGAGAAGGCAUCCACAGCACAAAUGUUAUCUGAAACACCAUUUUUUCCUUUUAAUUAUUUGCUUCCAGUAUGCUAAUUGCAAAGCUGUAAUAACAAUCAAAUGUUCUUUCCCGAGGUAAUUGUAUGUGCUAGGAUAAUUAACCCCAGAGUUACACAUGUGAAUGUGCCACACUGAAGUAUCAUUUCUUAAAGUGCUUGCUGGUUUGAGAGGUGCUUCUUAUAACACAGCAUAUUUUCUUUAGAAAUAAUAUAAAAGUUGAAAUUAAAUAAAGCCAUAUUUUUAUUGCAAA
Long non-coding RNA from Pogoniulus pusillus (Red-fronted tinkerbird), 385 nucleotides. RefSeq lists it as uncharacterized. Lineage: Eukaryota; Metazoa; Chordata; Aves; Piciformes; Lybiidae. The transcript is spliced from 2 exons. The record is from RefSeq and is a predicted model, not a curated record.